Non-coding RNA from Capsicum annuum, 128 nucleotides. The record is from Rfam. NCBI's taxonomy places the organism in Eukaryota, Viridiplantae, Streptophyta, Magnoliopsida, Solanales, Solanaceae.
AAGAGAAGAGCAUGUCAAGGUAGCCAAGGAGACUGCCUGAAACCAAACUAAAAGGUAACAAUUAAACAACCUUUAGACAAUGGAGCAGGCAAGUCAUCCUUGGCUACUAAACAAUAUGACUCUCCUCG